AUACGUAGGGAGCGGGCGUUGUCCGGAAUUACUGGGCGUAAAGGGCGCGUAGGCGGCGCUUCAAGUCGUCUGUCAAAUGGAAGGGCUUAACCCUUUUUCGCAGACGAAACUGGAGAGCUUGAGAAGCAGAGAGGCAAACAGAAUUCCUAGUGUAGCGGUGAAAUGCGUAAAUAUUAGGAGGAACACCAGUGGCGAAGGCGACUUCCUGGACGAAACCUGCCGUGGAGGCUCGAAACCGGGGGGAGCAACAGGAUUAGAUACCCUGGUAGUCCGCACCGUAAACGAUGCAUACUGGGUGUCCGGGGGUUCCCCCGGGUACCGUAGCCAACGCGUUAAGUAUGCCGCCUGGGGAGUACGUACGCAAGUAUGAAACUUAAAGGAAUUGACGGG
This 390-nucleotide ribosomal RNA is filed under the name uncultured bacterium. RNAcentral's name for it is "partial 16S ribosomal RNA". It matches the Rfam family "Bacterial small subunit ribosomal RNA", at positions 523 to 917 of the family's 1533-position model. The record is from RNAcentral.